UACGUAGGGGGCAAGCGUUAUCCGGAUUUACUGGGUGUAAAGGGAGCGUAGACGGCGAUGCAAGUCUGAAGUGAAAGGCGGGGGCCCAACCCCCGGACUGCUCUGGAAACUGUAUAGCUGGAGUGCAGGAGAGGUAAGUGGAAUUCCUAGUGUAGCGGUGAAAUGCGUAGAUAUUAGGAGGAACAUCAGUGGCGAAGGCGACUUUCUGGACUGUAACUGACGCUGAGGCACGAAAGUGUGGGGAGCAAACAGG
Molecule: ribosomal RNA, 253 nt
Filed under: uncultured bacterium
Lineage: Bacteria
Description: partial 16S ribosomal RNA
Rfam family: Bacterial small subunit ribosomal RNA
Source: RNAcentral